GAUGAACGCUGGCGGCGUGCCUAAUACAUGCAAGUCGAGCGAACAGACGAGGAGCUUGCUCCUUCGACGUUAGCGGCGGACGGGUGAGUAACACGUAGGUAACCUACCUAUAAGACUGGGAUAACUUCGGGAAACCGGAGCUAAUACCGGAUAAUAUUUCGAACCGCAUGGUUCGAUAGUGAAAGAUGGCUUUGCUAUCACUUAUAGAUGGACCCGCGCCGUAUUAGCUAGUUGGUAAGGUAACGGCUUACCAAGGCAACGAUACGUAGCCGACCUGAGAGGGUGAUCGGCCACACUGGGACUGAGACACGGUCCAGACUCCUACGGGAGGCAGCAGUAGGGAAUCUUCCGCAAUGGGCGAAAGCCUGACGGAGCAACGCCGCGUGAGUGAUGAAGGUCUUCGGAUCGUAAAACUCUGUUAUUAGGGAAGAACAAACGUGUAAGUAACUGUGCACGUCUUGACGGUACCUAAUCAGAAAGCCACGGCUAACUACGUG
RNAcentral lists this ribosomal RNA (497 nucleotides) under uncultured bacterium. RNAcentral's name for it is "partial 16S ribosomal RNA". It matches the Rfam family "Bacterial small subunit ribosomal RNA", at positions 28 to 507 of the family's 1533-position model. The record is from RNAcentral.